Molecule: long non-coding RNA, 2215 nt
Filed under: Canis lupus familiaris (dog)
Lineage: Eukaryota; Metazoa; Chordata; Mammalia; Carnivora; Canidae
Description: lncRNA (ENSCAFG00040000855.1)
Source: RNAcentral
AACACCUCAGGUACCAUCUUCCUGUCAACACAUCCUGCAUUUUUUAAUGCGUGUGUCUGGAAAUGUAUCGUGUUGGACUCAGGAAAUUAUAAUUUAGAUCGAACCUCUUGCAAAUCAUUGCUUCUGAGCUGGCGCUGCCGAUUUUCACAGUUUUGUCUGUCCCUUAUGCUAGGACCGUCCGCCGUUCAUACGAGUCCAUCUGUGAGGAUGUACAUCUUAUGUGUUCCCCACAGUCUGAAGCUUAAAUCCAUGGGAAAUCACCCAGCAUCAUUUCAUGAGUCCCAAACAACAAACACUUCUCAUUUAAUUAAGUUGGUGAUGGGAUUGAUGACAUCAACGGAACCAGUUCCCCUGAGAGUGCAGGGAAGACUCUGGGAGAGUCUUCCGCAGUGGAAGCGCUCCUUGCGGGCCACACCAUGGUCACUGGCCACGUGGAAGAUGCAAAGAUGCGAAACCUGUGAGGACAUCAUUUGGCUACAAGAUCUGGCGCUGAGUAUCUGAGAAUCUUGACGGAAGUGCGAUGCUCCAAGGCGCUGCCUCCCAACCGUGAACAAAUGCAUCUUUGCUCCUGGAGAAAAGCCUUUCUCUGCACCUGCAGCCUGUAGCACCUUGAGCCGUCCUUGUCACAAGGUUCACCGGGGAGUUAGAAGCAGGUUGCCAGGCACUGGGGACAUCUUAUUGCCUUCUGAGGAAUGCAAGGUAUAGAUGUCAGGAAAACGCAAUCACAGAACAAAGAGAAGCUAUGCAUGCACAGAGAAAUCUAUACAAUGUCAAGUUCUCUCCUAUCUUUCUUUUUUUAAAAGAUUUUGUUUAUUUAUUCAUGAGAGACACAGAGAUAGAGGCAGAGGCAGAGACAAAGGGAGAAGCAGGCUCGGGAAGCCUGAUGCAGGACUAGAUCCCAGGACCCCGGGAUCAUGACCUGAGCUGAAGGCAGACGCUCAACCGCUGAGCCACCCGGGUGUCCCAAGUUCCUGCCUAUCUUUCUAACGUAUGUUGUAUGAGGGAAAUGAAAUUACCGAGGCCAACAGGUAGUGUGGUGGCCAGACAAGGAUGCAAACCCAGCAAGGCCGUGGACCCUCCCUCCCCAGCCCUGGGAAAGAGCCAAGUUUCAAAGCCCUGCCUGUGGCACCCCUAUGUCCUUCCCUGUCGAAUCUCAUGACGAAUCCAGGAGGCAGGAGUUACCACCACUUCCAUUCUAAGGAUGAGAAACAUCGAAGCACAGAGAAGUCAAGUGACUUCUCCAAAGCCACAUAGCAAAGGAAUGACAUAACAAAGCCACAUAGCAAAAUUAGAUCCGGGGUUUCCAGCUUCCAGGUAACAUUUCCCACCCUCUCUAGCUCAUUGGCACAAUCCUCUCUUCCUUCCACUCGCUGAAAGGCAGGCAUCCUCAAAGUUCCUCUCCUGGCUCACUUCUACUUUCUUCCCUCAAACGGUUUUGUGGUGAGUUCCUUUCACAUGCAGGUAGCUCCUCUUUGCAGACGCUGGGCCCUCCCACUGUCCCAAGCCAGUGUCUGAAGCUCAGAGCGCUCCUCCCCAUCCCACCGCAGACACGGGGCGUCUCUGAUGGGUUUCUGAUGGGAACCAGCAGAAGUAGAUAAGGCCACAGCUGGCUGAGGCCUGGCCACCAUGUUUGCUUCAUCAAGAACUGCGCCCACCUGCCUGCAUCGCUCCAGACCCUCGGCGUGAUCAGAACUGGAAAACAGGCUCCCUACUCUGGGAGGAAGUGGUAUACAGACUCGGAACGUUUCAGGACCUGCUAGCACAGGGAAAGAGGCUGAGGAGGACCGAUGCUGAAUCCUGGUGGCUCUAGAGCCAAGUCCCAUGGCACAGGGCUCACGCUUCUGCUAGAGUCCCGCGGGGCCAGGCAAAUGUGCUGCCAGGAGAGCCCCUGGAAACCUCCACACAACAGCCUUCAGUAAAUGACACAGAGGUGCCACAGCACAUGGAGGAAGGGCUUGAAGGCCAGAGGGACUCAUAGACCAGAGAACCUACCACUUGGACAACUCCCAGGGACGGGCAUGGAAGAUAGUCCGUCAGCAUCUUGGAGAGGCUCCGUGGCCACGCCUUCUGCGGGCCUGGGCUGACGGGACAGAUGGGUGCCUCAGCACAUGGAGGGAUGGCGUGCCCUCAGACCGAGCAUCACGUGUCAGAGGCGAGAGGGACAUUUCUCCUGCGACCUCUCCAAAGGGACCGGAGGCUCUUCCCCAGAGCCCAU